This 1355-nucleotide ribosomal RNA is filed under the name uncultured bacterium. RNAcentral's name for it is "bacterial SSU rRNA". It matches the Rfam family "Bacterial small subunit ribosomal RNA", at positions 18 to 1395 of the family's 1533-position model. The record is from RNAcentral.
CCUGGCUCAGGACGAACGCUGGCGGCGCGCCUAACACAUGCAAGUCGAACGAGCGAUGGAGAGCUUGCUUUCCAGAGCGAGUGGCGAACGGGUGAGUAACGCGUGAGGAACCUGCCUCAAAGAGGGGGACAACAGUUGGAAACGACUGCUAAUACCGCAUAAGCCCACGGCUCGGCAUCGAGCAGAGGGAAAAGGAGUGAUCCGCUUUGAGAUGGCCUCGCGUCCGAUUAGCUGGUUGGUGAGGUAACGGCCCACCAAGGCGACGAUCGGUAGCCGGACUGAGAGGUUGAACGGCCACAUUGGGACUGAGACACGGCCCAGACUCCUACGGGAGGCAGCAGUGGGGAAUAUUGCACAAUGGGGGAAACCCUGAUGCAGCGACGCCGCGUGGAGGAAGAAGGUCUUCGGAUUGUAAACUCCUGUUGUUGAGGAAGAUAAUGACGGUACUCAACAAGGAAGUGACGGCUAACUACGUGCCAGCAGCCGCGGUAAAACGUAGGUCACAAGCGUUGUCCGGAAUUACUGGGUGUAAAGGGAGCGCAGGCGGGAGAACAAGUUGGAAGUGAAAUCCAUGGGCUCAACCCAUGAACUGCUUUCAAAACUGUUUUUCUUGAGUAGUGCAGAGUAGGCGGAAUUCCCGGUGUAGCGGUGGAAUGCGUAGAUAUCGGGAGGAACACCAGUGGCGAAGGCGGCCUACUGGGCACCAACUGACGCUGAGGCUCGAAAGUGUGGGUAGCAAACAGGAUUAGAUACCCUGGUAGUCCACACCGUAAACGAUGAUUACUAGGUGUUGGAGGAUUGACCCCUUCAGUGCCGCAGUUAACACGAUAAGUAAUCCACCUGGGGAGUACGACCGCAAGGUUGAAACUCAAAGGAAUUGACGGGGGCCCGCACAAGCAGUGGAGUAUGUGGUUUAAUUCGACGCAACGCGAAGAACCUUACCAAGUCUUGACAUCCCUUGACGAACAUAGAAAUAUGUUUUCUCUUCGGAGCAAGGAGACAGGUGGUGCAUGGUUGUCGUCAGCUCGUGUCGUGAGAUGUUGGGUUAAGUCCCGCAACGAGCGCAACCCUUAUGGUCAGUUACUACGCAAGAGGACUCUGGCCAGACUGCCGUUGACAAAACGGAGGAAGGUGGGGAUGACGUCAAAUCAUCAUGCCCUUUAUGACCUGGGCUACACACGUACUACAAUGGCGUUAAACAAAGAGAAGCAAGACCGCGAGGUGGAGCAAAACUCAGAAACAACGUCCCAGUUCGGACUGCAGGCUGCAACUCGCCUGCACGAAGUCGGAAUUGCUAGUAAUCGUGGAUCAGCAUGCCACGGUGAAUACGUUCCCGGGCCUUGCACACACCGCCC